AGUGAACGCUGGCGGUAGGCCUAACACAUGCAAGUCGAACGGCAGCACAGUAAGAUCUUGCUCUUACGGGUGGCGAGUGGCGGACGGGUGAGGAAUACAUCGGAAUCUACUUUUUCGUGGGGGAUAACGUAGGGAAACUUACGCUAAUACCGCAUACGACCUACGGGUGAAAGCAGGGGAUCUUCGGACCUUGCGCGAUUGAAUGAGCCGAUGUCGGAUUAGCUAGUUGGCGGGGUAAAGGCCCACCAAGGCGACGAUCCGUAGCUGGUCUGAGAGGAUGAUCAGCCACACUGGAACUGAGACACGGUCCAGACUCCUACGGGAGGCAGCAGUGGGGAAUAUUGGACAAUGGGCGCAAGCCUGAUCCAGCCAUACCGCGUGGGUGAAGAAGGCCUUCGGGUUGUAAAGCCCUUUUGUUGGGAAAGAAAAGCAGCGGGUUAAUACCCCGCUGUUCUGACGGUACCCAAAGAAUAAGCACCGGCUAACUUCGUG
RNAcentral lists this ribosomal RNA (492 nucleotides) under uncultured bacterium. RNAcentral's name for it is "partial 16S ribosomal RNA". It matches the Rfam family "Bacterial small subunit ribosomal RNA", at positions 29 to 507 of the family's 1533-position model. The record is from RNAcentral.